AACUAACGCUGGCGGCGUGCCUAACACAUGCAAGUCGUACGAGAAAGUUGGCUUCGGCCGAUGAGUAAAGUGGCGCACGGGUGAGUAAUGCGUGGAUAAUCUGCCCUUUAGUUGGGAAUAACGUACCGAAAGGUGCGCUAAUACCUGAUAAUACUGCAUAACUACUGUUGUGUAGUCAAAGAAGGCCUCUGUUUACAAGCUUUUGCUGAAGGAUGAGUCCGCGUACCAUUAGCUGGUUGGUGGGGUAAUGGCCUACCAAGGCUACGAUGGUUAGCUGGUCUGAGAGGAUGAUCAGCCACACUGGAACUGAGACACGGUCCAGACUCCUACGGGAGGCAGCAGUGAGGAAUAUUGCGCAAUGGGGGCAACCCUGACGCAGCAACGCCGCGUGAGUGAGGAAGGUUUUCGGACCGUAAAGCUCUGUCGAGCGGGAAGAAAUGUAUCAUGGCUAAUAUCCAUGAUACUUGACGGUACCGCUAAAGG
Molecule: ribosomal RNA, 483 nt
Filed under: uncultured bacterium
Lineage: Bacteria
Description: bacterial SSU rRNA
Rfam family: Bacterial small subunit ribosomal RNA
Source: RNAcentral